AGUGAACGCUGGCGGUAGGCCUAACACAUGCAAGUCGAACGGCAGCACAGUAAGAGCUUGCUCUUACGGGUGGCGAGUGGCGGACGGGUGAGGAAUACAUCGGAAUCUACUUUUUCGUGGGGGAUAACGUAGGGAAACUUACGCUAAUACCGCAUACGACCUACGGGUGAAAGCAGUGGAUCUUCGGACCUUGCGCGACUGAAUGAGCCGAUGCCGGAUUAGCUAGUUGGCGGGGUAAAGGCCCACCAAGGCGACGAUCCGUAGCUGGUCUGAGAGGAUGAUCAGCCACACUGGAACUGAGACACGGUCCAGACUCCUACGGGAGGCAGCAGUGGGGAAUAUUCGACAAUGGGCGCAAGCCUGAUCCAGCCAUACCGCGUGGGUGAAGAAGGCCUUCGGGUUGUAAAGCCCUUUUGUUGGGAAAGAAAAGCAGCAUGUUAAUACCCCGCUGUUCUGACGGUACCCAAAGAAUAAGCACCGGCUAACUUCGUG
This 492-nucleotide ribosomal RNA is filed under the name uncultured bacterium. RNAcentral describes it as "partial 16S ribosomal RNA". It matches the Rfam family "Bacterial small subunit ribosomal RNA", at positions 29 to 507 of the family's 1533-position model. The record is from RNAcentral.